CAAAUAUGGACAUCUAAUGAGGCAAAAUUUUCAUGACACAAUAUUCUUGAAGGAAGUUGAAGCAGCAUUUCUUUCAUUCUUUGCUUGUGCAUAUCUUCUCUUCGUUUUUUCCUAGCCUCUGAACUUGUAGAAAGUUGGAAAAAUCCAAAUCUUUGAAAAUUCCAUCGUGUAUGAUUUGAGUUGCGAAAAAGUCCAGAUAAAUAUCCUACAUCUGAAUUGAGUGAUUGAAAUGGUCUCGAGAAUCCAGUCACAGGUAGGCUAAGAACAUUUCUAACGAGAAAAGAUCUUCACUUGGCCAUAGACAUCUUUUGGAGACAAA
This 319-nucleotide long non-coding RNA is filed under the name Olea europaea subsp. europaea. Lineage: Eukaryota; Viridiplantae; Streptophyta; Magnoliopsida; Lamiales; Oleaceae. The record is from RNAcentral.